GGGGAAGAGACAAGAAAAUGAGACAAGAGACAAAUGAGCAAAGGGGGGGAAAGAUUGAUGGACAAGAGAUAAGAGGCAAGAGAAGAGGAAAUAAUCAGUAAAAAAGGGCAGGAGUUCUAGAUGAAAUACAGAGAGAGAACUUAAAACCAUAUUUUCCCAUAGAGCUCUGGUGGUAAUUUGUUGGAAACCAACAGAAACAGCAUGAUAUUGAAAUUUUUUUUUUAAAGGCAGUUGUGUGGUGACUGGUUAUUACCAGUGUUAGAUUAAAAAAAAAUUAUCUAAAGUUUUAGGCACAAGUUGGGUCCCUAGCCUUCGCAUGGGAUGGCUGAGACUCAUGAAAAAGCAGGUCAUCCUGGACAACUACCAUAUACCCAUCUCAGCAAGUCCUCCCCCAUCUUUCCCCAGGCCUUGGGCUUUAGGCCCUCCAUCAAGGCGAGGGAAGCCAUAGGGAGAGGGGCUAAGCAGCAGGACGGAGACUUCCCUAGUGGAGAAGGCCAGGUGUCACAGGGGAGAAGAGAAGGGUAGCUGAAGGCCUGCUUCCUGCUCCCCAGGAAGAAGGCACAGUAGCAUUUCUGAGCACUAGAAGGACAAGCAUGUCACUUCCCCCCUCACGCCAAGGGGAACCAGCAAAAUAAAUUGAAUUCCUUGUUCUUCGUCAGCAAUCACAGCCCUGCCAUCAUUCUCCCUAAUCCUGAGGGGAGACCAAGAGUGUGGCCAAAUAGACUGCCAACAUCCUAUAAUCUCUAGAAUCUCCUAUUAGUUGAAGGCUAAGUGGGCAGGGAAAGAGUUAGGUUACCCUGCAACUAAGACUUCGGCUAACAAAGCACUGUGCCCCCUCACCCCGAGGCUGACCAGACCAUCUCCCAACAUUCUUCCCUUUGGCCAGUUGUGUGGAGAGCACAGGGGCUUGGGAAACCUGGCUUGGUGCUGACCAACAGGGUCAGUGCUCACCAGAGGGAGGACAAUGAAUUGGGGAGUCCUAAAUCCCAGGGUCUCAGGAAAGGGAAUUAAAGCUAAGAGUUAAGCAGUAGGAGAAAAGAAUUUAAGCUUAAGGCAACUCACUUCUGCCCUGUGACCUUAGCUAGUGCCUGGGUGCUGGUGUUCAGAGAAGAGAAAAAAGAAAGGGAAUCGACCUCAAAGUUGGUCCGCUCAUCCUCCUCGGAGGAGGUCUGUGGCCUGGGCGGGGAGCCAAAAGAGGCACCAGGGAGAGUCUGGGCUCCCAAACAAAAAGUAAUAACCUGCCCAUAUUUUAUCAGCAGUUUUCAAAAGCAACCUUUUCCGGGGCUGGAUGAGUGCCACAUCCUCCUCCCCUUCCCAAGGCUACUGCCGCCACCUUUCAUCCCUUGAGAAACUGAGCCCUCUUCCAAGAGAGAUGGAACAGAUUUCACUUUUUACCUUUCAUCACCAGAGGCUUCCUAGCCUAGGACAGGGUAGGGGGUUAACUGAAGGGGUCCCACUCUAGGCAAUUAGACCAUUCUCACACUUUUAUUUUUGGCACCUGCAACUCCAAGUGCUUUUUAAAUUCACCCCAAGGCCCAAUAGGCACAAGGGAUGAUGGUAGCUGGGUGGAAACUUUAAUCAAGUAGCACCUAGGCUCCCCCAGAGCAUGACAGGGACCUGAAUAGCACCCCCAACAAGGUCCCUCCAAUACCUGUACCCCACCAAAAGAUAUAUAAAUUUAUUGCAUUUCAGCAAAGAUCUGCAGCUUCCAGUAUUCACAAUGUGAAGAUAUUAACAAUACAAAAUAUAUUCUGAAAGUCAAAUACCUGCAGUUUAUAGUGCUUUCUCAGAUUUGUUAAAAAAUACAAUGCUUAAAGUUUCCUAUAUAAGAUAUACAAAAGCAAAAAAUAUAUAUAUAUAGUAGAAAUAAAUCAGCCAUAUUAAUUUACAGCUUUUGUACCCAACCCUUCCCCCCCCCCCUAAGCCCCAUGUCCAUUACUUCUGUAUUUCCUGAAAAGGGGAGGGAGAGGGUUGUUUAUUCAGAUUUGGGCUGGGCUCAGGAAUACCCAUUAAACUGCACUCUGUUCAGAACCCACAGGUCAGGGUGGAUUAGGACAACCAGAAAGUCCCUGAAAAGACAAUAUGGGAUAUCUUACUAUUUGGGGGCACAAGGGAAGAAGCCAAAAGGUACAAAGGCCAGGCAAGGGAAUGAAUGCUUUAACAUUACCUCUCCUAUCCCAACCCCCCACACCAAAAAACAAAACCUCACAACAAAAUAGGAUUGGUCAUGACCAAAAAAAAAAAAAAAAA
Molecule: long non-coding RNA, 2250 nt
Filed under: Sarcophilus harrisii (Tasmanian devil)
Lineage: Eukaryota; Metazoa; Chordata; Mammalia; Dasyuromorphia; Dasyuridae
Description: lncRNA (ENSSHAG00000032023.1)
Source: RNAcentral